Phascolarctos cinereus (koala) is the source of this 629-nucleotide non-coding RNA. The record is from RefSeq and is a predicted model, not a curated record. NCBI's taxonomy places the organism in Eukaryota, Metazoa, Chordata, Mammalia, Diprotodontia, Phascolarctidae.
GUCAAAGUGUACCUAGCGGUGCUCAGUGCUUUGGAAGCAGAGGUAGGAGAGACUGGCGGAAGCCCUGCGCAAGCGCACUCGCCCACAAGCGCCCCUCCCUCUCCCCAGAGCCCUGCCUUUGGCUACGGACUGUUUUCAACUCUGGCCACAUCUGAGUGAUCUCUUUGACUAUCUGGAUGGAAACGUCUCUGCUGUUGUUGGACUGUAAAACACUGGAUGUCCCCAAAACUGUGAAGAUAUCCAAUAGGACCUGUGCCACUUCCUGGGCCUAUUUGAGUGGACCUUGACCGUAAUGAGAGUAAUGAACGUGAGUGCCAUCUGUGCUACGGCCCUAAUGUUGCUUGUGUUGUUCCUGUUCAUUGUCACAUACCUGGAAGGUUUUCCAUCUUCACCUCUGGCUUCCUGCUUCCCAGGAUUCCUUCAAGAUUCAACUCAGAUCCCAUCUUCUUCAUGAAGCCUUCCCAGGCCUUACCACUGCCGCUUGUCUCGUACUGUAUAUGUCUUGUAGGUACUUAGUUAUUUAGGUGUUGUUUCUGCCAUUAGGAACAGAGGCUAUGCUUUUGCCUUUUUUGAUCCACAGCAUUUAGCACACUGCCUGGCACACUGUGAGUGCUUAAGAAAUUUUUUUU